GAUUCGAGCGUCAGCGAGAAAGCGUUGCCGCAGGCAACGACCCGAAGGGCGAAGCGCGCAGCGCUGAGUCAUCCUUCCCCCACCACCA
RNAcentral lists this small RNA (88 nucleotides) under Salmonella enterica subsp. enterica serovar Rubislaw. RNAcentral's name for it is "partial RtT sRNA". It matches the Rfam family "RtT RNA", at positions 45 to 130 of the family's 130-position model. From Rfam's summary of the family: This family represents a bacterial cis-regulatory element known as RtT RNA. The exact function of RtT is unknown although it is thought that it may be involved in changing the cellular response in relation to amino acid starvation. The record is from RNAcentral. RNAcentral also lists the same sequence under 7 other names. Lineage: Bacteria; Pseudomonadati; Pseudomonadota; Gammaproteobacteria; Enterobacterales; Enterobacteriaceae.